Molecule: long non-coding RNA, 1441 nt
Filed under: Oreochromis niloticus (Nile tilapia)
Lineage: Eukaryota; Metazoa; Chordata; Actinopteri; Cichliformes; Cichlidae
Description: lncRNA (ENSONIG00000029126.1)
Source: RNAcentral
CUGUGUGUGUGUUCACAGUGCCAGUCGCUAUAGACAUGGUGAUAAACGAUGUCGAAUGCUGCGAGGCUGUCACUAAUAAAAUCCGCAUACCAGUGAAGAAGGUGCAGCAUGUGAUGAAGACCAGCUGCAACCUUGAAGCAAUCAUAGUCAGCACUGUGGCUGGGAGGAAGUUCUGCCUUGAUGCUAAAUGGAAACAUGCACAGAUGCAUCUGGAAGAAUUCAAGAAAACAUCCUCAACCCAGAAACCCUGAGAGUGAUGAAGGAGAUCUAAAAACAGCAGAAAGUAGUCCCUCUGUGCUUCUGUGCACAAACUGACGUUAUGUUUGAUUGUGUUUGACUGUGUUUGAUUGUGUUUGACUGUGUUUGACUGUGUUAGAUUGUGUUUGACUGUGUUUGAUUGUGUUUGAUUGUGUUUGACUGUGUUUGACUGUGUUUGAUUGUGUUUGACUGUGUUUGAUUGUGUUUGAUUGUGUUUGACUGUGUUUGACUGUGUUUGAUUGUGUUUGACUGUGUUUGACUGUGUUUGAUUGUGUUUGAUUGUGUUUGACUGUGUUUGACUGUGUUUGAUUGUGUUUGACUGUGUUUGACUGUGUUUGAUUGUGUUUGAUUGUGUUUGACUGUGUUUGACUGUGUUUGAUUGUGUUUGACUGUGUUUGACUGUGUUUGACUGUGUUUGACUGUCUUUGAUUGUGUUUGAUUGUGUUUGACUGUGUUUGAUUGUGUUUGAUUGUGUUUGACUGUGUUUGACUGUGUUUGAUUGUGUUUGACUGUGUUUGAUUGUGUUUGAUUGUGUUUGACUGUGUUUGACUGUGUUUGAUUGUGUUUGAUUGUGUUUGAUUGUGUUUGACUGUGUUUGAUUGUGUUUGACUGUGUUUGAUUGUGUUUGACUGUGUUUGACUGUGUUUGAUUGUGUUUGAUUGUGUUUGACUGUGUUUUUGUGAGAACACGGUGUACGUGUCCGUUUUGAUCUGCUGCAGAACUUCAUUUGUGGUCGACUGUGAUCACACAGAAAGGUUUUCGGUUUAAACCUUUGAAAGUUUAUUUUUCUCUGAUGUCCUGAGCUAAACCAAGUAGUGCGACUGAACUCGUGUCAUUGUAUUUAAAAGGUUGAUAAUUAAUGCUUCACCUUAACUUAACUUAAAGUAUUUUUAAAGGUGCUUUUUAAAAAAAACAAAAAAAACCAACAACUUUAAAAUACUUUUAAAGUACUAAUGAAGGGAAUUAGAUUUAGAUUUACAUCACUCCAUAGUCUCUACUCUUCGCUGGUUUCAGCUUAUUUAAGCCAUUGUGCAGAGGUCUGGGGCAGUAACUAUAAAACUACAGUGUCCAUCAUUUUCAAUGUUAUUCAUACAAACUCAUUAUUCUUAAAAUGCUGAGGUUUGCAGAUCUAAUUGAAAUAAAAGUAUAACAGAAAGAGUCAAAGCAUGUGUUUCUGUCUGUU